Molecule: long non-coding RNA, 485 nt
Filed under: Bos taurus (domestic cattle)
Lineage: Eukaryota; Metazoa; Chordata; Mammalia; Artiodactyla; Bovidae
Description: long non-coding RNA NONBTAT016904
Source: RNAcentral
GAUGUUUGCAGCUUUUACUCGUAUUGAUUAAUGGCUUGGCAGACUUCUCUACAAAAGGAACUUGUGAAACUUACUACAGUGUUUAAGAUCAGGUACACAUAGACUUACUAUAUGUUUUAAAUUAAACAGCAACAGUUAAUGCAUAGUUAGAGGUGGCCCAGUAACUUCAGGAGUCCAUGCAUUUUAAUGAAUUUUUAAUUAGCCUAUUUAAGGGCAUUUUAAAGAAACAGUAUCCUUAAUAAGUUAUUUCUAGAUUAUAAUACACACUGUGAUGUUCCAUUUAAUAAGCUUAAAAGAACUGCUAAACUAUUAGUCUUCUUAAAGGUGCUAAAUUUUAUUUUCAGUGAAACUGAAAAUAGUGCAGCUUGCAGAAGUCAUUUUUAUAAUUUGAAAAGCGCCUCCCAAAGUAAACUGUGAUGAUUGCAUUGUUUCCAGUUUUUUUAAAAAAACACCAAUCUGACCCCUUGAUGUGGCAGAUGUCUUUG